RNAcentral lists this ribosomal RNA (549 nucleotides) under uncultured bacterium. Its description in RNAcentral is "bacterial SSU rRNA". It matches the Rfam family "Bacterial small subunit ribosomal RNA", at positions 356 to 896 of the family's 1533-position model. The record is from RNAcentral.
GGGGAAUCUUCCGCAAUGGGCGCAAGCCUGACGGAGCAACGCCGCGUGAGUGAAGAAGGUCUUCGGAUCGUAAAGCUCUGUUGAUGGGGACGAACGUGCCUAAUGCGAAUAGUUUUAGGUAAUGACGGUACCCAUCGAGGAAGCCACGGCUAACUACGUGCCAGCAGCCGCGGUAAUACGUAGGUGGCGAGCGUUGUCCGGAAUCAUUGGGCGUAAAGGGAGCGCAGGCGGGCAUGUAAGUCUUUCUUAAAAGUGCGGGGCUCAACCCCGUGAUGGGAAAGAAACUAUGUGUCUUGAGUACAGGAGAGGAAAGCGGAAUUCCCAGUGUAGCGGUGAAAUGCGUAGAUAUUGGGAGGAACACCAGUGGCGAAGGCGGCUUUCUGGACUGCAACUGACGCUGAGGCUCGAAAGCCAGGGGAGCGAACGGGAUUAGAUACCCCGGUAGUCCUGGCCGUAAACGAUGGAUACUAGGUGUGGGAGGUAUCGACCCCUACCGUGCCGGAGUUAACGCAAUAAGUAUCCCGCCUGGGGAGUACGGCCGCAAGGCUG